UACGGAGGGGGCUAGCGUUGUUCGGAAUUACUGGGCGUAAAGCGCGCGUAGGCGGACCUGCAAGUCGGGGGUGAAAGCCCGAGGCUCAACCUCGGAACUGCCUUCGAUACUGCGGGUCUCGAGUCCGGGAGAGGUGAGUGGAAUUCCUAGUGUAGAGGUGAAAUUCGUAGAUAUUAGGAAGAACACCGGUGGCGAAGGCGGCCCACUGGCUCGAUACUGACGCUGAGGUGCGAAAGCGUGGGGAGCAAACAGG
This 253-nucleotide ribosomal RNA is filed under the name uncultured bacterium. RNAcentral describes it as "partial 16S ribosomal RNA". It matches the Rfam family "Bacterial small subunit ribosomal RNA", at positions 524 to 776 of the family's 1533-position model. The record is from RNAcentral.